CUACGGGGUGCUGCAGUGGGGAAUAUUGCACAAUGGGGGAAACCCUGAUGCAGCAACGCCGCGUGGAGGAUGACGCAUUUCGGUGUGUAAACUCCUUUUAUAUAGGAAGAUAAUGACGGUACUAUAUGAAUAAGCACCGGCUAACUCCGUGCCAGCAGCCGCGGUAAUACGGAGGGUGCAAGCGUUACUCGGAAUCACUGGGCGUAAAGCGCGCGCAGGCGGCCUUUUAAGUUGGAUGUGAAAGCCUACGGCUCAACCGUAGAACUGCAUCCAAAACUACUAGGCUAGAGUCUGGGAGGGGAAGAUGGAAUUAGUUGUGUAGGGGUAAAAUCCGUAGAGAUAACUAGGAAUACCAAAAGCGAAGGCAAUCUUCUGGAACAGUACUGACGCUGAGGCGCGAAAGCGUGGGGAGCAAACAGGAUUAGAUACCCCCGUAGUC
Molecule: ribosomal RNA, 439 nt
Filed under: uncultured bacterium
Lineage: Bacteria
Description: partial 16S ribosomal RNA
Rfam family: Bacterial small subunit ribosomal RNA
Source: RNAcentral